Molecule: non-coding RNA, 433 nt
Organism: Pelobates cultripes (western spadefoot toad)
Lineage: Eukaryota; Metazoa; Chordata; Amphibia; Anura; Pelobatidae
Source: the annotation of a GenBank genome assembly
AUGCCAUUGCUGUAUCUGUGCUAAGUGUGCCGCAGAGUGGUAGUGUGUGAAGUUCGGGAGGCCCAGGCCUCCAUAUUUCUUGGGCACGUAUAGUGUGCACCUGCGUACCCUUGGUUUGCGUCCGUUCCAUAUGAAUGUAUCGAUUGCCGAUUGCAGGGCUUUGAAAUCCGGUUUGUGGAGCGGUAUUGGGAGGGUCUGGAAGAGGUAUAGGAAUCUAGGGAGGAGGUUCAUUUUAAUGGAGGCGAUAGGUCCCAGCCACGAGAUUCCUAAGAGUUUCCAUUUGGUCAGGUCUUCGUGUGCUUUAAGUAAUAGUGGGGUACAAUUCUUGGCAUUUAGGGAUGAGGUAUCUGCUGAGAGUUGAAUCCCCAGGUAUGUUAUUGUCGUGUGGCGUAUCCUCAGCGGGAAAGUUUGUUGUAUCCUAGCUAGGCUCUGG